Molecule: non-coding RNA, 246 nt
Organism: Cinara cedri
Lineage: Eukaryota; Metazoa; Arthropoda; Insecta; Hemiptera; Aphididae
Source: the annotation of a GenBank genome assembly
UACUUUUACUAUUUUUAAAUUUUUAACAAGUUUUCGCCUUUAAAAUUAAUUGUACAUAAUAAUUAUGUUCUCGUUGUGAGUGUAUUUAUGUAGCGUAACAGUGUCCAACACCUAGUUUUCGUGUCUUGUCCGUAACGCAAUGGACAAUGCCUAUGCUAUGUAUACAAAUGUUAUAAUAUUAAAUAUUCAUUUCGCAACCCCGACUUUUUAGCGGAAAAAUAAUUUAUGAUAAUAUUAUUAUACGUG